This 73-nucleotide transfer RNA is filed under the name Microcaldota archaeon. RNAcentral describes it as "Candidatus Micrarchaeota archaeon (hot springs metagenome) tRNA-Val". It matches the Rfam family "tRNA". Rfam says of the family: Transfer RNA (tRNA) molecules are approximately 80 nucleotides in length. Lineage: Archaea; Nanobdellati; Microcaldota. The record is from RNAcentral.
GGGCCCGUGGUGGAAUGGCUAACACGUCUGCCUUACACGCAGAAGAGUCUGAGUUCGAAUCUCAGCGGGCCCA